CUUUUCCUUUCCUGGGCUAGGUAACCGUUAAUGGAAUAUCCGAGGCAAUAAUUUUCUGCUUUGUGGAGUCAACUCGUCUUCCCCGAAGCGGAGCCCACAUAUAAAUUAGUGUAUACAUAUGCACUUACAGUUACAGAUACAGAAGGCGCAAUCGGAGCACUAAGAUCAUGGGGUGAAGGCACACUGUCAUUACACGAUGGGUAAGGUGCGGAGCUACACUCUAAAGACAGAUUCACUAGAUUCCGACCUUCCCGCUGCUCUGUAUAGUCCUAUUG
Molecule: long non-coding RNA, 275 nt
Filed under: Nicotiana benthamiana
Lineage: Eukaryota; Viridiplantae; Streptophyta; Magnoliopsida; Solanales; Solanaceae
Description: long non-coding RNA (NBEN_LNC041493)
Source: RNAcentral